AGCAAAAGUAACCUAAUUAUUUAGACAUUUCCUGUGCGACAGUGACGCAACGCAAUGAGUGGCGUCCAGAUCUGGACGGUCCCUAACCCAGAGCCGAGAGGAGGGACAGCAAGCUGAGGGAUCGAUGGGGUCGGUGACUGAGCUGACGGCAGACUAACGGGAUUAGGGCUCCAGUGACUGGCUGAUGGACAGAGAGAAGAGACAAUCCCAAGAGGAAGACGCUGUCGUCCUGUUACAGGAGCGUUAAUGGCAGCUACAUACGGAGCGCAGAGGCGUCUGAACCCUCAGCAUAAAGUACCUAUGAUUAAGACCCCAGACCAAGGCCAUUCGCCUUCCCUCCAAAGCUCUGAUGCCAUGGAAUGAGUUCCGUCUCUCCCUCAGAACUGCUGAAUCCCUUCUGACAUUUAAGAAAGCAGGCAUUUGAGGAUAUCUCAGAAGUGAAGAACUUCCCCAAAGAGCUCCAGAUCCCCAUGUGUGUUUCCACGGCACGUAACACCGCUUGUGUGCCAGUGCCUCACCGUCCCCUUAGAAUGAG
RNAcentral lists this long non-coding RNA (535 nucleotides) under Scleropages formosus (Asian bonytongue). Its description in RNAcentral is "lncRNA (ENSSFOG00015028431.1)". The record is from RNAcentral. Lineage: Eukaryota; Metazoa; Chordata; Actinopteri; Osteoglossiformes; Osteoglossidae.